This 469-nucleotide ribosomal RNA is filed under the name uncultured bacterium. Its description in RNAcentral is "partial 16S ribosomal RNA". It matches the Rfam family "Bacterial small subunit ribosomal RNA", at positions 28 to 507 of the family's 1533-position model. The record is from RNAcentral.
GACGAACGCUGGCGGCGUGCUUAACACAUGCAAGUCGAACGGAAAGGCCCUGCUUUCGUGGGGCGCUUGAGUGGCAAACGGGUGAGUAACACGUGAGUACCCUGCCCUUGACUGUGGGAUACCUUCAGGAAACGGGCGCUAAUACCGUAUAGGAGCUCCUGCUGCAUGGGGGUGGUUGGAAAUUUUGGGCGGGGUGGGAUGGGCUCGCGGCUUAUCAGGUUGUGGGGGGGGGGAGGGCUUACCAAGCCAUUGGCGGGUAGCCGGCCUGGGAGGGUGGCCGGGCACAUUGGGACGGGGAUAAGGCCCCGACGCCGACGGGAGGGAGCAGGGGGGACGAUGGCAAAAUGGGCGGAAGCCUGAUGCAGCGCCGCCGCGGGGGGGAUGACGGCCUUCGGGUUGUAAACUCCUUUCGCUAGGGACGAAGCUUUGUGUGACGGUACCGAGAUAAGAAGCACCGGCUAACUACGUG